GAACCACAAACAACAUAUGAAAUUCCAACAGAACUUCAAAGGUCAAAACCCAAACAAACAAACAAACAAACAAUCAAUCAUAUUCUUCUAUUCAUGUGCAUCACAUGACAUUAUAAAUUCAUACAAAACAUUCAUAAUCCAAUUUUAUCACUUAGCCAUAACCGACCCAACAUUGGCCGCCUUCUGGUACACCCGCACCACCGACAUCCCAUCACUUCCAUCGUCUUUAACCCUCCAUGCUCUAUCCUUCUUUCUUUGAGGCUUCUUAUGCUGCUUAUAAGACGCACUCGAGCUCGCCUUUUUCCGAGCCCCACGAACCACGUUACCAGGACCUAACCCAUUAGCCACGUCAAAUGACUUAAGGUCAUCCAUCACGUCAUCAAGCCUCGUUCCUUCACCAGAAUCCGAUUCAUCACUCUCACUCGCGUCGGACCCACCUGCAUCUCUUGAACCAUCCUCUUCGUCCGACAUGCCAGGUGGCAGUUCGUAAUGAGGCAGCUUUCCGUCGAUGUAAUCCUUCAGAAUUUGACGAGCGGCUUUUGUUUCAUCAGGGAGUCCACUAGAUGCAACGUACCCACGAGACGCGCAGUAUGACCUCAAAAGUUCUGAUGCAAAAGGAGGUCGGUUUUCAGGCUCGUACGGCUUCGGUUUUGGUAGUUUGAUAUUGUAGACACCCUCGAUGACGUGGCGUGGAACGUGGUCUGCAACCACUUGUACCGCUUCCCGAUGCUCAGUCAUUCUGUGGAUCGGUAAAACCCCAGAUGCAAUCAUUUCAUAUCUCGAGCUUGUGAAAGACGGGAAUACUAAUCCGGGACAGUCGCAUAAAGUCAGCUUUUCGGUAAUUAUAAGCGUCUGGAAAUGUUUGGUUUUCCCAGGGGUAGAUGUCACGCCCGUUCGUUUUGCACCAACUAAAGCGUUGAUCGUUGAACUUUUUCCAACAUUAGGGUACCCCACGAAUCCAACGGUUACAUGUUCGGUUUUCACAUCAGUUGAAUUUUGCUGUGAGUCGGUUCUCAUACGGGCUAUUUCCUCUGCUUCCGACUGUAAACGGGAUAACAACUCUUCCCUCCCGUAUAUUUUUGUGUCCUCGUCAACGGUUUCUUGCGAAGAAGAAACAUGUUGUUUUCCUUCUAACUCUGCUGUUGCAGCCUUGGCAGACCAAAAGAGAUACAAAAUACCAUGAAGCUGGAAGUAAUCGGCCCAUUUCUGUCUGCAAAUGAAACCAAAAGAUAGAUAGUUACAAGAACAGAAGAUGCAUUUGCAUUAUACCGUUUACGGCCGUUUGGAUGUUUGUUUUAAAAGCAACUAGUAUUAAGUACCCCGCGUUGCGGCGGGGGCAAGCACUAAUGUCAGCGACCAUUGACACUGAAGUUGCGGUGUUAAUGCGAAGAAAUUAAACUGAAACGUAGAACAUAGAAUAAAAUAACUAAGUUGAUCUAGGACUCGCUCGUUACGAUGAACCCGCGUCUGGUUCAUCGUAAUCUAUAUACAAUAUUCAUUACCACUAUACAAACCAUAUCUGAUUAAGGUACAACCAAUUAAGCACAACUUACAACCAAAUAUGCAUACUGGUAGAGGAUCCUGUAAAAAGUGCUCAAAGUGUGAGAAGUCUGACCCUUUUCUUUGGAUUCUUGGAUUUUGUGGUUGUGAUGCUUAACUAGGGCUCUUCCCAACGAUGAUUUAUCGUUUUUCCCCAUCAACAACAAAUAAGGUGUUUUUUUGGUUACGGCUAACGGAAUAUGUAUGUAU
RNAcentral lists this long non-coding RNA (1749 nucleotides) under Helianthus annuus (common sunflower). Its description in RNAcentral is "hypothetical non coding rna". Lineage: Eukaryota; Viridiplantae; Streptophyta; Magnoliopsida; Asterales; Asteraceae. The record is from RNAcentral.